This 253-nucleotide ribosomal RNA is filed under the name uncultured bacterium. RNAcentral describes it as "partial 16S ribosomal RNA". It matches the Rfam family "Bacterial small subunit ribosomal RNA", at positions 524 to 776 of the family's 1533-position model. The record is from RNAcentral.
UACGAAGGGUGCUAGCGUUGUUCGGAAUCACUGGGCGUAAAGCGCGUGUAGGCGGUCCGUUAAGUCUGAUGUGAAAGCCCGGGGCUCACCCCCGGAAGUGCAUUGGAAACUGACGAACUCGAGUCCCGGAGAGGAGGGUGGAAUUCCUGGUGUAGCGGUGAAAUGCGUAGAUAUCAGGAGGAACACCGGUGGCGAAGGCGGCCCUCUGGACGGUGACUGACGCUGAGACGCGAAAGCGUGGGGAGCAAACAGG